Molecule: long non-coding RNA, 254 nt
Organism: Vanessa atalanta (red admiral)
Lineage: Eukaryota; Metazoa; Arthropoda; Insecta; Lepidoptera; Nymphalidae
Exons: 3
Source: RefSeq, a predicted model, not a curated record
ACCGUUAUCACUUCUUUAUCUCAAUUGACAAUCAAAAUGCCAGCUCCCUGUGAACCGUGCAAAGAUAGCUGCAAAGAUGCCGCUGACUGCAAGGAUAACUGCAGCACUGACAAGUGUGGUUCGGGUGACUGCUCCACUGCUAGUGGUGGUUGCUGUUAAUUUGUGCUAGCAAUUCACCGAAUUGAUUAACCCGUUUGAAGAACUCAAAUAUUCUAGUUUGUAAAUAUGAUUGCAAUAAAUUUUUGGUGCUUCUA